UAGGGAAUCCUCCACAAUGGGCGCAAGCCUGAUGGAGCAACACCGCGUGAGUGAAGAAGGGUUUCGGCUCGUAAAGCUCUGUUGUUAAAGGAGAACACGUAUGAGAGUAACUGUUCAUACGUUGACGGUAUUUAACCAGAAAGUCACGGCUAACUACGUGCCAGCAGCCGCGGUAAUACGUAGGUGGCAAGCGUUAUCCGGAUUUAUUGGGCGUAAAGAGAGUGCGGGCGGUUUUCUAAGUCUGAUGUGAAAGCCUUCGGCUUAACCGGAGAAGUGCAUCGGAAACUGGAUAACUUGAGUGCAGAAGAGGGUAGUGGAACUCCAUGUGUAGCGGCGGAAUGCGUAGAUAUAUGGAAGAACACCAGUGGCGAAGGCGGCUACCUGGUCUGCAACUGACGCUGAGACUCGAAAGCAUGGGUAGCGAACAGGAUUAGAUACCCUGGUAGUCCAUGCCGUAAACGAUGAGUGCUAGGUGUUGGAGGGUUUCCGCCCUUCAGUGCCGGAGCUAACGCAUUAAGCACUCCGCCUGGGGAGUACGACCGCAAGGUUG
RNAcentral lists this ribosomal RNA (550 nucleotides) under uncultured bacterium. RNAcentral's name for it is "bacterial SSU rRNA". It matches the Rfam family "Bacterial small subunit ribosomal RNA", at positions 355 to 896 of the family's 1533-position model. The record is from RNAcentral.